GCCUUCGUGGUGUAAUGGUCAGUACACUGAGCUGGUAUUUCAGAGGUCCGUGGUUCGAUCCCCGGCGAAGGCA
RNAcentral lists this transfer RNA (73 nucleotides) under Stegodyphus mimosarum. It matches the Rfam family "tRNA". From Rfam's summary of the family: Transfer RNA (tRNA) molecules are approximately 80 nucleotides in length. Their secondary structure includes four short double-helical elements and three loops (D, anti-codon, and T loops). Lineage: Eukaryota; Metazoa; Arthropoda; Arachnida; Araneae; Eresidae. The record is from Rfam by way of RNAcentral.